AGCAAUACCUGAGUAAAGUGGCGUACGGGUGAGUAACACGUGGAUAAUCUACCUCUUGGCGGGGAAUACCUCUGGGAAACCGGAGACAAUACCGCAUAAGCUCGAGAGAGGAAACCCGCAAGGGGCCGAGAGAGGAGUCCGCGGCCGAUUAGCUAGUUGGUGAGGUAAAGGCUCACCAAGGCGAAGAUCGGUAGCCGGCCUGAGAGGGCACACGGCCACACUGGCACUGAGACACGGGCCAG
RNAcentral lists this ribosomal RNA (242 nucleotides) under uncultured bacterium. RNAcentral's name for it is "partial 16S ribosomal RNA". It matches the Rfam family "Bacterial small subunit ribosomal RNA", at positions 78 to 334 of the family's 1533-position model. The record is from RNAcentral.